UACGUAGGGGGCAAGCGUUGUCCGGAUUUAUUGGGCGUAAAGAGCGUGUAGGCGGUUUGGUAGGUCCGCUGUGAAAACUCGAGGCUCAACCUCGAGACGCCGGUGGAAACCAUCAGACUAGAGUCCGGAAGAGGAGAGUGGAAUUCCUGGUGUAGCGGUGAAAUGCGCAGAUAUCAGGAGGAACACCGGUGGCGAAGGCGGUGGUCUGGGCCGGAACUGACGCUGAGGAGCGAAAGCGUGGGGAGCGAACAGG
RNAcentral lists this ribosomal RNA (253 nucleotides) under uncultured bacterium. RNAcentral's name for it is "partial 16S ribosomal RNA". It matches the Rfam family "Bacterial small subunit ribosomal RNA", at positions 524 to 776 of the family's 1533-position model. The record is from RNAcentral.